Molecule: transfer RNA, 76 nt
Filed under: Rhodobacter sp.
Lineage: Bacteria; Pseudomonadati; Pseudomonadota; Alphaproteobacteria; Rhodobacterales
Also listed under: 13 other names
Description: tRNA-Val
Rfam family: tRNA
About the family: Transfer RNA (tRNA) molecules are approximately 80 nucleotides in length. Their secondary structure includes four short double-helical elements and three loops (D, anti-codon, and T loops).
Source: RNAcentral
GGGUGAUUAGCUCAGUUGGUAGAGCGCUUCGUUUACACCGAAGAUGUCGGCGGUUCGAGCCCGUCAUCACCCACCA